Molecule: unclassified non-coding RNA, 799 nt
Filed under: Hevea brasiliensis (rubber tree)
Lineage: Eukaryota; Viridiplantae; Streptophyta; Magnoliopsida; Malpighiales; Euphorbiaceae
Source: RNAcentral
CUCUUUAUUACGGAGAUAGAGAUUCCUUGUAUAUAUUUAUGUAUAUAAAAGAAAAAGGUUUAAUGAUUUGUUAGGUUUUCCCACCGAUUCUAUAAAAAGUGAUAUUCCUCAUCGCAAUCGUCUUCGACAACAGAGGUAAACUAAUGGGGGCAGAGGCGAAUCAAGCAGGGCAUUGUACGCAACUGGAAACGACGCCGGAGAUUGUUGAUGCCUUGCUCGAGGCUGCUAGAUAUGAUGAUAUUGAUGACAUUAAAAGCUUAGCAUCUGAAGGGGUUUCUGUUGAUUCCAAGGAUUCACUGGGCCGAACAGCGCUUCAUAUGGCUGCAGCGAAUGGGCAUCUUGAUAUUGUAGAGUAUCUUAUCAGCCAAAGAGUGGAUCUCAAUGCUUCUAACGAGGAGAAGAAUACACCUCUUCACUGGGCUUGCCUCAAUGGUCGUAUUGAGGUGGUUAAGAAAUUGAUUCUUGCUGGAGCAAGUUUAAGCACUCUAAACUGCCAUGAACGGACUCCGGUAGACGAAGCUAUUAGUCAAGGAAAAAUGGAUGUUGUUGAUGCAAUUAAUGCAGCUGUAGCACAACUGGAACUUGCUGGUGUCCAAGUUUCUUGAUGCAGGAAGACUGGAAAUUUGAUUAUUUUGGUAUUACAGCUACAGGACGUCAAAGAAGACUGGAAAAAGUUUUUCUUUCUUGGUCUGAAGAUUUUGUGAAGCAUCUUGGAUUUUGCUUGAAACUAACCUAGUGAUGCAAAUGGAGGAAUAAAGAUAAAGAUCCUUACUAUUCAAUCUCUCAAGAUUCAUCUAUG